CCGCACUCUUGGCUUGUUUGGGUUUUUCUGUCUGUCUGCCUUUUCACAUUCGAGUGCUGUGUGCUCCCUACUAACCCCUCUCCCUCCCUCCUGCCCUCUCUGUCACUCGGAGUGGUACUGUUAACAAUUCUACAGGGCAGCAGAAGCGUGCACGACCGUUUGAUAGGAGAGUAUAGUGGGAGGGGGAGAAGAAUGGCGGCACACACGGUGCUGCCGAGCACCUCCCUCUUCCCUCCUCGUUGGCUUCCCUUUUCCUCUCACCCUACUGUGAUUUCUGCUCUUUGCUGAGGGCCGUUACCGAGUGAGUGAGAGGUGCAUGCUCUGGACGGUUUGGCACCGCUAAAGCACCUGCUAUUGCUGAUGCUGAUGACGUGCACGGCGGGUGGCUCCAUGCGCGCAGAUGGGCAGAGGGGACGGGAGAGUCUCACCCGCCCCCCGCCCCUCUUUCGCUGACUGUGUGUGUGGGGUGUGUGUGGGUGGGGGGUAGGGGCCACCUUUGCACAUGUGCUCCACCCACACACACACACCCCACCUCACCCGCACUCUCUCCCCCUCUUCCCUCCUCCUCAG
RNAcentral lists this unclassified non-coding RNA (570 nucleotides) under Leishmania donovani. RNAcentral's name for it is "gene:unknown". Lineage: Eukaryota; Euglenozoa; Kinetoplastea; Trypanosomatida; Trypanosomatidae. The record is from RNAcentral.